GGAACCGACGGGAGCUUGCUCCCUUAGGUUAGCGGCGGACGGGUGAGUAACACGUGGGUAACCUGCCUGUAAGACUGGGAUAACUCCGGGAAACCGGGGCUAAUACCGGAUGCUUGAUUGAACCGCAUGGUUCAAUUAUAAAAGGUGGCUUUUAGCUACCACUUACAGAUGGACCCGCGGCGCAUUAGCUAGUUGGUGAGGUAACGGCUCACCAAGGCGACGAUGCGUACCGACCUGAGAGGGUGAUCGGCCACACUGGGACUGAGACACGGCCCAGACUCCUACGGGAGGCAGCAGUAGGGAAUCUUCCGCAAUGGACGAAAUCUGACGGAGCAACGCCGCGUGAGUGAUGAAGGUUUUCGGAUCGUAAAACUCUGUUGUUAGGGAAGAACAAGUACCGUUCGAACAGGGCGGUGCCUUGACGGUACCUAACCAGAAAGCCACGGCUAACUACGUGCCGCAGCCGCGGUAAUACGUAGGUGGCAAGCGUUGUCCGGAAUUAUUGGGCGUAAAGCGCGCGCAGGCGGUUUCUUAAGUCUGAUGUGAAAGCCCCCGGCUCAACCGGGGAGGGUCAUUGGAAACUGGGGAACUUGAGUGCAGAAGAGGAGAGUGGAAUUCCCGUGUAGCGGUGAAAUGCGUAGAGAUGUGGAGGAACACCAGUGGCGAAGGCGACUCUCUGGUCUGUAACUGACGCUGAGGCGCGAAAGCGUGGGGAGCGAACAGGAUUAGAUACCCUGGUAGUCCACGCCGUAAACGAUGAGUGCUAAGGUUAGAGGGUUUCCGCCCUUUAGUGCUGCAGCAAACGCAUUAAGCACUCCGCCUGGGGAGUACGGUCGCAAGACUGAAA
Molecule: ribosomal RNA, 847 nt
Filed under: Bacillus licheniformis
Lineage: Bacteria; Bacillati; Bacillota; Bacilli; Caryophanales; Bacillaceae
Description: bacterial SSU rRNA
Rfam family: Bacterial small subunit ribosomal RNA
Source: RNAcentral